GGCCGCGGGAAUUCGAUUCAGGCCUAACACAUGCAAGUCGAGCGGUAGAGAGAAGCUUGCUUCUCUUGAGAGAGGCGGACGGGUGAGUAAUGCCUAGGAAUCUGCCUGGUAGUGGGGGAUAACGUUCGGAAACGGACGCUAAUACCGCAUACGUCCUACGGGAGAAAGCAGGGGACCUUCGGGCCUUGCGCUAUCAGAUGAGCCUAGGUCGGAUUAGCUAGUUGGUGAGGUAAUGGCUCACCAAGGCUACGAUCCGUAACUGGUCUGAGAGGAUGAUCAGUCACACUGGAACUGAGACACGGUCCAGACUCCUACGGGAGGCAGCAGUGGGGAAUAUUGGACAAUGGGCGAAAGCCUGAUCCAGAAAGGCCGCGUGUGUGAAGAAGGUCUUCGGAUGUAAUAUUUAAAGGAGUUGGGAGGAAGGGCAUUAACCUAAUACGUUAGU
This 445-nucleotide ribosomal RNA is filed under the name uncultured bacterium. Its description in RNAcentral is "bacterial SSU rRNA". It matches the Rfam family "Bacterial small subunit ribosomal RNA", at positions 34 to 472 of the family's 1533-position model. The record is from RNAcentral.